Non-coding RNA from Punica granatum (pomegranate), 734 nucleotides. NCBI's taxonomy places the organism in Eukaryota, Viridiplantae, Streptophyta, Magnoliopsida, Myrtales, Lythraceae. The record is from RefSeq and is a predicted model, not a curated record.
UUCAACUAUCUCCUCCCCAUCGAGCAAAAAGACAAAAAAAUUCUCCUCCCCAUCGGCCUCCUCCACAGCCACCCGCCCAUCCAAACACCACUUCCCACCCCCGAGGGUAAACCCAACAUUGAAAACGAAUUUUCUCUUGUAAACGAUCUUCGAUAAGUAUCCUUUUGCAAACAGUGAAACACCCCACCAUAGAAAAUCAUUCUCAGACCAGUUCCGACGUGCCAAUUCACCAGUUGUCUUCCAUCUAUUGGUAUUGCUUCAUCGACGCCUUGCUGCCAACACCGCUCUUUCCAUAAGCUAGAUUAUCGGGUUGUUGCUCAACACAUUCCAGCUUCGGACUUCAGGCUUUGUGAGAAGCACAUAUUGAGUAUUUGAGCUCAGGAAACAUAAGCUGAGAAAUUGCUUGGUAAGUAUGUGGAAGGUAACGGGUGUGAUUAGCAAAUCUUAUCAAAAUUAAGAGGAGUUUUUAUUUUAUUUUUAUUUUUGGAGGUUCAUGGCAUAUUUAUAUGUCUUCAAUUUGGAAUCCUUCUUCCCUUUGCUCUCCUUCAAAAUUUGGAAAUGAGAAGUAACUCAAUUUGGUUCGGAGCAACAGUUGGGCUAUGUAAAUGCAAUCAGUGCAUGCAUGUGAAGAAAAGGAAGGGGCUGGUCAAAGGAUCAAAAUUCUUCUUUUGCUUGAAUAGUUUUAUGGACUUUGAAACUGUUGCCCAAAUGCAAGCACAUGUCUAACAUUAAGU